Molecule: ribosomal RNA, 465 nt
Filed under: uncultured bacterium
Lineage: Bacteria
Description: partial 16S ribosomal RNA
Rfam family: Bacterial small subunit ribosomal RNA
Source: RNAcentral
GACGAACGCUGGCGGCGUGCUUAACACAUGCAAGUCGAACGGUAAGGCUCCAGCUUGCUGGGGUACACGAUUGGCGAACGGGGGAGUAACACGUGGGUAACCUGCCCUGCACUUCGGGAUAAGCCUGGGAAACUGGGUCUAAUACCGGAUAGGACCGCACCGUGCGGGUGGGGUGGAAGGGUUUUUCGGUGUGGGGUUGUCCCGAGGCCGAUCAGCUUGUUGGUGGGGUAGUGGGCUACCAAGGCGGCGACGGGUAGCCGGCCUGAGAGGGUGGACGGCCACCUUGGGACUGAGACACGGCCCAGACUCCUACGGGAGGCAGCAGUGGGGAAUAUUGCACAAUGGGCGGAAGCCUGAUGCAGCGACGCCGCGUGCGUGAUGACGGCCUUCGGGUUGUAAACUUCUUUCUCCGUCGACGAAGGGUUUCUGACGGUAGCUGGAGAAGAAGCACCGGCUAACUACGUG